Ochotona princeps (American pika) is the source of this 718-nucleotide long non-coding RNA. RefSeq lists it as uncharacterized. Lineage: Eukaryota; Metazoa; Chordata; Mammalia; Lagomorpha; Ochotonidae. The record is from RefSeq and is a predicted model, not a curated record. The transcript has 2 exons.
CCACUAUAAAAUAUUCUUAGAAUUUUCCAAUCUAUAGAUGGUGGAGGAUAUAGGAAAAUCAGUGCUUAUUAGACUCAAUGUUCUUAUUGCAACUUUACAGUGUUCUUAUUGCAACUUUGCUGAUUGAUAGAUUAAAAAUCUAAACUCUGUGGCAAGGAAAAAUAUUCCUAGAUUUGCAGUUGGGUACCAAGAAUUUUCAUCCGCUGUGAUUUGGAUGUUGUUUGUCCCCCAAAGGUUCAUGUAUUGGAAAUGUGGUCCACAGAGUAGUAAUAAUGGGAGGAGGUGGAAUUUUUUAGAGGUUAAGCCUCAUGGCAGGUCCAGUUUGGGACAUGCCUAGGAAAAACAUUAAGGUUAAGUAGCCCUGUAUGACCCAGUGGCAGUUGCCACUUGUGAGAGUUGCUAUGGAGACUGAACAUGGCUCCACCCAACUGUAUCUUGCUUUCUGUAUGUAGAGGCAAUUGCCUUCUCCUUCCACUGUAUAUGAAGUAGACAAGAGGGUCCUCAUUAGAAUGAAGUGAUGUCAGCCCAUGCCUUUGAGCCCCUACAGCAAUGAGAUAAACAAAAAGCAAUUUCUAUGUGAACCACGCAAAUGUGGGAAAUAAAUUAGUGUGGUGAGACAGAAGCAAGAAAAUGGAGCUCAAGCUCAACCUCAAUCCAUUUCUCAAAGUUGGUGUCUGUUAAUUUCUCUGCAUUUGCUCUUAUAAAUUUUUCAUUUUCA